AGAGUUUGAUCCUGGCUCAGAGCGAACGCUGGCGGCAGGCUUAACACAUGCAAGUCGAGCGGGCGUAGCAAUACGUCAGCGGCAGACGGGUGAGUAACGCGUGGGAACAUACCUUUUGGUUCGGAACAACACAGGGAAACUUGUGCUAAUACCGGAUAAGCCCUUACGGGGAAAGAUUUAUCGCCGAAAGAUUGGCCCGCGUCUGAUUAGCUAGUUGGUGAGGUAACGGCUCACCAAGGCGACGAUCAGUAGCUGGUCUGAGAGGAUGAUCAGCCACAUUGGGACUGAGACACGGCCCAAACUCCUACGGGAGGCAGCAGUGGGGAAUAUUGGACAAUGGGCGCAAGCCUGAUCCAGCCAUGCCGCGUGAGUGAUGAAGGCCCUAGGGUUGUAAAGCUCUUUU
Molecule: ribosomal RNA, 403 nt
Filed under: uncultured bacterium
Lineage: Bacteria
Description: bacterial SSU rRNA
Rfam family: Bacterial small subunit ribosomal RNA
Source: RNAcentral